GCCAGACUCCUACGGGAGGCAGCAGUGGGGAAUAUUGCACAAUGGGGGAAACCCUGAUGCAGCGACGCCGCGUGAGUGAAGAAGUAUUUCGGUAUGUAAAGCUCUAUCAGCAGGGAAGAGAAUGACGGUACCUGACUAAGAAGCCCCGGCUAACUACGUGCCAGCAGCCGCGGUAAUACGUAGGGGGCAAGCGUUAUCCGGAUUUACUGGGUGUAAAGGGAGCGUAGACGGCUGGCCAAGUCUGAAGUGAAAGCCCGGGGCUUAACCCCGGAACGGCUUUGGAAACUGGCCGGCUGGAGUGCUGGAGAGGCAGGCGGAAUUCCUGGUGUAGCGGUGAAAUGCGUAGAUAUCAGGAGGAACACCGGUGGCGAAGGCGGCCUGCUGGACAGUAACUGACGUUGAGGCUCGAAAGCGUGGGGAGCAAACAGGAUUAGAUACCCUCGUA
This 445-nucleotide ribosomal RNA is filed under the name uncultured bacterium. RNAcentral's name for it is "bacterial SSU rRNA". It matches the Rfam family "Bacterial small subunit ribosomal RNA", at positions 330 to 792 of the family's 1533-position model. The record is from RNAcentral.